GAUGAACGCUGGCGGCGUGCUUAACACAUGCCAGUCGAACGGGAAUUAUUUUAUUGAAACUUCGGUCGAUUUAAUUUAAUUCUAGUGGCGGACGGGUGAGUAACGCGUGGGUAACCUGCCUUAUACAGGGGGAUAACAGUCAGAAAUGGCUGCUAAUACCGCAUAAGCGCACAGAGCUGCAUGGCUCAGUGCGAAAAACUCCGGUGGUAUAAGAUGGACCCGCGUUGGAUUAGCUGGUUGGUGGGGUAACGGCCCACCAAGGCGACGAUCCAUAGCCGGCCUGAGAGGGUGAACGGCCACAUUGGGACUGAGACACGGCCCAGACUCCUACGGGAGGCAGCAGUGGGGAAUAUUGCACAAUGGGGGAAACCCUGAUGCAGCGACGCCGCGUGAAGGAAGAAGUAUCUCGGUAUGUAAACUUCUAUCAGCAGGGAAGAUAGUGACGGUACCUGACUAAGAAGCCCCGGCUAACUACGUG
RNAcentral lists this ribosomal RNA (478 nucleotides) under uncultured bacterium. RNAcentral describes it as "partial 16S ribosomal RNA". It matches the Rfam family "Bacterial small subunit ribosomal RNA", at positions 28 to 507 of the family's 1533-position model. The record is from RNAcentral.